AUUUAUUCAGGUCAUGAUAAGAGAGUUUGUACUGGCACCUAAUUGUGACACUGAAAUAGCUGGCCAGGGACAAGUUUAUAUAAAAUACUACGGCAGUGAAGAAUGUGCUUUGAUGGAUCCAGCUAGAGAUCUUUCACCGUUUGACCAUUGCUUUGAAAGAAGAAGUGCCAACCCUUCAGAUGAAUUUCAGGAAGCACUGAAACAGG
Molecule: long non-coding RNA, 206 nt
Organism: Daucus carota subsp. sativus
Lineage: Eukaryota; Viridiplantae; Streptophyta; Magnoliopsida; Apiales; Apiaceae
Exons: 3
Source: RefSeq, a predicted model, not a curated record